RNAcentral lists this ribosomal RNA (301 nucleotides) under uncultured bacterium. RNAcentral's name for it is "partial 16S ribosomal RNA". It matches the Rfam family "Bacterial small subunit ribosomal RNA", at positions 509 to 807 of the family's 1533-position model. The record is from RNAcentral.
CAGCCGCCGCGGGAAUACGUAGGGUGCAAGCGUUAAUCGGAAUUACUGGGCGUAAAGCGUGCGCAGGCGGUUUGUUAAGACAGAUGUGAAAUCCCCGGGCUUAACCUGGGAACUGCAUUUGUGACUGGCAAGCUAGAGUCUGGCAGAGGGGGGUGGAAUUCCGCGUGUAGCAGUGAAAUGCGUAGAUAUGCGGAGGAACACCGAUGGCGAAGGCAGCCCCCUGGGCCAACACUGACGCUCAUGCACGAAAGCGUGGGGAGCAAACAGGAUUAGAUACCCCUGUAGUCCCUGUCUCUUAUAC